CUUAAGCGGGUAACGUAAAUUAGUCUGAUGUGAAAGCCCCCGGCUCAACCGGGAGGGUCAUUGAACUGUUUACUCGAGUACAGGAGAGGAGAGUGGAAUUCCAUGUGUAGCGGUGAAAUGCGCACAGAUAGGAGGAACACCAGUGGCGAAGGCGGCUGUAUGGUCUGUAACUGACGCUGAGGUGCGAAAGCGUGGGGAUCAAACAGGAUUAGAUACCCUGGUAGUACACGCCGUAAACGAUGAGUGCUACGUGUUGGGGUGUGUCCGCCCCUCAGUGCCGCAGCUAACGCAUUAAGCACUCCGCGUGGGGAGUACGACCGCAAGGUUGAAACUCAAAGGAAUUGACGGGGAGCCGCACAAGCGGUGGAGCAUGUGGUUUAAUUCGAAGCAACGCGAAGAACAUUACCAAAUCUUGACAUCCUCUGACAUCCAUAGAGAUAUGGUUUCCCUUCGGGGCAGAGUGACAGGUGGUGCAUGGUUGUCGUCAGAUGGCGUCUUGAGAUGUUGGGUUAAGUCCCGCAACGAGCGCAACCCUUAAGUUUAGUUGCCAUCAUUAAGUUGGGCACUCUAGACUGACUGCCGGUGACAAACCGGAGGAAGGUGGGGACGACGUCAAAUCAUCAUGCCCCUUAUGAUUUGGGCUACACACGUGCUACAAUGGACAGGUUACAAAGGGCAGCGACGCCGCGAGGCCAAGCGAAUCCCAUAAAACUGUUCUCAGUUCGGAUUGGAGUCUGCAACUCGACUCCAUGAAGCUGGAAUCGCUAGUAAUCGUAGAUCAGCAUGCUACGGUGAAUACGUUCCCGGGUCUUGUACACACCGCCCGUCACACCACGAAAGUCGAUAACACCUGAAGCCGGUGGGCCAACCUUUAUGGAGGCAGCCGUCGAAUGGUGGGAUUGAUGUUUAAGUGAAGUAUGCAUCAACGAAAGCAGCCAA
This 939-nucleotide ribosomal RNA is filed under the name Jeotgalibacillus sp. B-WPhSw7. RNAcentral describes it as "bacterial SSU rRNA". It matches the Rfam family "Bacterial small subunit ribosomal RNA", at positions 570 to 1506 of the family's 1533-position model. The record is from RNAcentral. Lineage: Bacteria; Bacillati; Bacillota; Bacilli; Caryophanales; Caryophanaceae.